GAAUCUAAAACCUUUCCGGAGUAUCAAUUGGAGGGCAAGUCUGGUGCCAGCAGCCGCGGUAAUUCCAGCUCCAAUAGCGUAUAUUAAAAUUGUUGCAGUUAAAAAGCUCGUAGUUGAAUUUCUGCUGCAUCCGUGUCAUUCCUAACUGGUUUGUCACUGUUGUGGCUUUUUCUGGUGGUUGUGCUUCGGCUAGAUCUCCAGAUUGUUACUUUGAGAAAAUUAGAGUGCUUCAAGCAGGCUUUUGCCUUGAAUACUUUAGCAUGGAAUAACUAAGUAGGACUUUGGUUCUAUUUUGUUGGUUUAAGAGCCAAAGUAAUGAUUAAUAGGAACAGUUGGGGGCAUUCGUAUUUAACUGUCAGAGGUGAAAUUCUUAGAUUUGUUAAAGACGAACUACUGCGAAAGCAUUUGCCAAGGAUGUUUUCAUUAAUCAAGAACGAAAGUUAGGGGAUCGAAGACGAUCAGAUACCGUCGUAGUCCUAACCAUAAACUAUGCCGACUAGAGAUUGGAGGUCGUCAGUUUGAACGACUCCUUCAGCACCUU
RNAcentral lists this ribosomal RNA (541 nucleotides) under Cytauxzoon sp. RNAcentral's name for it is "SSU rRNA". It matches the Rfam family "Eukaryotic small subunit ribosomal RNA", at positions 521 to 1089 of the family's 1831-position model. The record is from RNAcentral. Lineage: Eukaryota; Apicomplexa; Aconoidasida; Piroplasmida; Theileriidae.